GCAUAAUAGAAGGUAACGACUGUUGAUAGUGUGUUUUAUUUGAUUACCAUUGAAAAUAAAAAGUACAACACAGUUCUUUAUUUUUUAAGCUCCCUCCUUUACUAGCUUCAUAACCAAUGAUACCUGUGGCAGCUUGUGUUUCCUUAUUUUAGUGCUCCCUUUGGUGAAUCGGGAAAAAAAACUUGUGGCUUUGAAAGUCUACAAAUACAAUUAGGGAUGUAAAUAUAUAUGAUAUUAACCCAUAGGUUAACAAUUUUACAUCUGUCUUAAGGCAAAUGUUGCCCCUUGAAGAAAGUGCACGGUCUUAUGAAAACUCAUGCUUGAAAAACAAAAAAAUGUCAUUUACUGCUUUUAAUGCUGACAUUUAAAACCUUUUGCUCUUAUACAGAUAUAUAGCAAUGACUUGGUACCAAGUUUAAUUUGAUAUUGUAUGACAAAAAACAAAAACAUGCUACCAUUGUUGAGUGUAUUUUCUCUAAAGCAUGUGUUAACAGUAUGAGUUAUUUCCCUUUUAUAAACUGUGUUUAUUGAUUUUAUCGUGGUAUGUGCUUCCUGCAGUAUCAAAUAUGUUGGUUUAUUGUUAUUUUUUACUGUCACUAGGAAAUGUAAUCAUGUAUUAAACAGAGUAUGCAAAAUUUAAGACAUGUAUGCAGUACAUGUUUAAACAUUUUUUAUAUCGACUCCUUUUUUUUCUUCUCUUUUACAGUGACUUGACUGUUAGUGUUGCUAUCUGACUAUUACAACUCAUUCAAAAUUCUGACCAAAUUGCAAUUUGUUUUAUAAAACCAAACUGUUCAACUGGUCAGAAUUUUGAACAAACUGUUCAGUCAAAUUGUGAAAGUGCAAGGUAAUAAAAUAAAAUACACUUACAAUCCUAUAAGACUUUAACUCCACUUUGAUGUUGAUGUGACAAAACCAGUCUAACAGUUUGUAUAGAUAUAUUAUAGUCAUUACCAUGCAAAAAGUGAAAUGUAAUUUUGAAUUGCUAUAAAAAUGUCCAAACUAAGCUUUCAUAUAAUUUUGAAAAGUCUUCUAUAUUCAUAAGAAUCAGACAUCAUUUGAAUUAAAACAUCAUAUAUUCGGUAAAAUAUGUGUGAAAUAACAAUACUUUAUUGAUAAGUUUCCAUGGGGAGAUAACCUAAAACAUUAUUCUGUUGAAUGAAGACUUUUUGAAAGAAAAAAAGAUUAUCUCCCCAUGGAAACUUCCUACAAACAUAUUGUAAUUUCACACAUAUUUUGCUGAAUAUGAAAUGUUUUAAAUCACAUAAUAUCUAUUUCUUGUGAAUAUAAAAGAUAUUUUGAAAGAAAAACUAUAUAAAAGCUUAGUUUGGACAUUUUUAUAGCAAUGCAAAACUACAUUUCACCUUUAGCAUGAAAAUGACUAAAAAAUAUCUAUACAAACUGAUAAACUGAAUUUUCACAUCAACAGUAAUGUGGAGUUAAAGUCUUAUAGGAUUGUAAGUAUGUUUUUAUUUAAUCACCUUGCACUUUCACGACUUGACUGGGAUUUUCUACAGCAGUUUGUUCAAAUUUCUGACCAGUUGAACAGUUUGGUUUUAUAAAACAAAUUGCAAUUUGGUCAAAAUUUUGAAUGAGUUGCAAUAGUCGGAUAGCAACACUAACAGUCUAGUCACAGUGACACUGUUAGUAUUCUUUGAAAUGUAAUUAAGUAAAUAUUAACUUAUAAGAGUGAUACAUCUUGAAAGCAAGCAAAAAAAGAAACAAAAGAAUGAACUGAUAGAUUUAAAUUUUAUUAUAUUAGCCUGCUUAUUGUUAGAAAUAAUUAAUGAAAAAAAAUAUGUUAAGUAAGUCCCUCAGCAUCACUGCUCCCUUUGUUCCAAAUUGAAAAUUUGUCUAAUCAAAGAAUUUCAAAUGAUUUUUUUUCCCCAGAUAAGUACUUUAAUCUGCCAUGACUUCAGUUUUCAGUAUGAGGCAAGGCUUUCUUAUUUUUUGGAAAAUUGAUUCUUAAAUAAGUAAUUUCCCUUUUUAAAGGUUUCAGUUGUCCUUUUACAUCACAUGUUUAAAGAAGACCAUUUUGAAAUUUCCCUUUUAUUUCAGAUCUCUAGAGUUAAGCAGCAGUGGGAAUUUGGUAAUUGUACCAACUCCUCACCUUCCCAGUAGGUCAAGGUCACCUCCACCGGUACCAGUCCAUAAUAGUCAGUCAGCUACCUCAGCUCUUAAAACCUCCAUUUUAUCUAGUAAAUCUUCUGUGACCAGUAGAAACUCAUCAUCCACAGCUAGCAAACCUUCAUCCUCCACAGGGAGUAAACUUAAUUCAGCAUUUCAGGUAAAUAUUUUGGUAUGAUAUAAUUAAUGUGGGUUAAAGUUUAAUUUUGGGGGCUUUCUAAGUACAACAUCCAUAUUGGUUCAAAGUAUGGAAUGCUUGAUAAAAACUAUCUUAUUUUUAACUUAGUUUAAAUUUAUUUAACUUGCUAAUUUAAAAAUAAAUGAUGAGACACAAGUAAAUCAUAUUUCAGAAGUCUUCUCCAUAUUUCUAAACCUAAUGACAGGGCUUUCAAAUCAUACAAUCAUCCAUAUGGUUUUUUUGCCACCACACCAUGUUGCCACUUUAAUUAAUGUUUUAUCUUUCUUUCUAUAAUUUUCAAUGUUAGUGCAAAUAAUAUAAAGUCCAUAUCUUGAAUACAUGUUGAAGAAAAACCAAUAGUCAAUAUUGUGGACUAAUUAUUUUUUGGAGAAUACUGAUUUUCAUGGAUUUCUUGUGUAUAGAGAAAUACCAAUUUAAAGACAAAACGUAGUACAAAAGUUUUCUAUAUGCAGGUUGUAACAAAACUACGAAAUCAACAUAAUUUAUAGGGUUAAAUAUUUAAUAAGCCCAAAAAUUUACCUUUUCCUAUUAAAAAAAACAACAUUUGAAUUCUUUCAGGAACCUGGAACUUCUAGAAAGUUUGACAAUUCAACAGAAGCUCAAACAGGACCAGCAAUAGUAGAUGCCUCUAAAAUUUCUGGUAUUAAUAGUCCUGUGUAAGUACUAGUAUAAGUAUAUUCUACAAUGUUCUAGCAAAUAUUUUAAAGUUCUAAAGAGUUUUACUGGGCAUUUUGUUAGUUAGAAAGACUUGCUAAUCAAUCCGAUGAUCUUGUGGUAGCCUACUGGCCUUAAGUAUAGGAGGUUUGGGUUCAACAUAUGAAUGUCUGACAUCCUAAUCCUUUUAUAACAGGUCACUGGUGGAUCCUUGUCUCAUUUGUAUUUAUACCACAUCUUGUUUAUAUAAACAUUUUUAAAUUGGGUUGUGGAUUUUUUUGCUGUUUACCUGCAUGGAUCAUUUAGGAAAUAUAGUUUGAUCUUAGAAAGGAUAAUGUGCCCAUAAGGGGUUACAUGUCUUUGCACAGUCUUCUUCUUUUUGAAACCAAAACAUAUAUAUGCUAAAUAGCUCAGUGUUUUAGUAUUGAUAUCAAGGCUAAAUUUUUUUUUAUUAAUUUUUGUAGAUAUACAGCAUUAUUUAAUUAUAAACCCCACAGAGAGGAUGAAAUAGAACUGAGGAAGGGAGAUUAUUACACUGUGUGUGAUAAAUGUCAAGAUGGGUGGUUUAGAGGACAGUGUUUAAAGACGGGAAAACCUGGUGUUUUUCCUGGCAAUUAUGUUCAAAUGGUCAGGUAAUGUAUUAGACUUUUGAGUAUUUUAUUUGUAGUACUAUUAUUUAAACUUAGAUUGAAAGUUAUACUGUAGAAAGUAUGACAUAUUUUGCAUUGGAGUUAUUUCCCUUGGGCUCUUAUAUCGGAGGUCAAAGAUGAUAAUUUUGUUAUUUCGUCUAACCAAGUUUAAACAUGUGAUACCAGGGAAUCGGAUAAGAGAUUCUUACCGGCUUAUUCUUUUUCAAUAAGUGUAUAAGAUUUUUUUUAAAUAUUGAUUUUCACCUGAAAUUAAUUGAGAAAUCUGAAAAUAAAUCCCUCUUUUCAUUUUACUUUGAACUUUGAUCUUUUUUCAGGUUACCAAGUGCAUUUCUUCCUGUCAGUGGUAAUGUGAUGAACAUUCAUUCAAAAGGAAGCCAUUCUCUGGCGUCAUCGUCGUCAGCUCCUGCUGUAACUAUGUCAACUUCGUCAGGUCACAGAACAAGUACAUCACCAAUCAGGCCAGGGUCUACACCAUCGCUUCAGAAUUCAUCAUCACAGCAAGCAGAAUCAUCUUCUGGUCCCCCUCCCAUUACACCAAGAAGCUCAAAAUCAUUAGCCAAACUUUCAUCCUCAGCGCCAUUACGAUCAUCAUCUAACAGUAAAACCUCAUCUCAUUCUUCAGCGAGUAGCAAAUCGUCAGCAACAAAAUCAACAAAUUCUGGAUCAUCGUCACCUAGAUCAGCUUCUAGUAGAUCAUCAUCAUCAUCACUUAAGCCAGCAGAUAGCAGUGGAACAAAAGCGAAAUCCCCACACCGCCACACCAAUCAUAAUGGUCCAACAGUAGGUAUUGAAGGUCAUCUUGACCUUAGUGUGACCUCAGGACAUUCCAGUCAUCGUACAUCUAGCUCAAAACAAGUUGUUUACAGAAAGCCUAAUGCUGUUGGGAUGCCACAAGUAAUGUCUGCCUCCUCAAAUAUUACACCACCUAAUGUUGUGGCUGGGGCAACAGGUGAAAUACCUGGGAUCAAGGAUAAUAAGGUUUGUAUAUAUCAUACUUUUAUUUUAUAAGUUUUGGUUUAGGAUAAGUAACUUUAUAGAUUUCUAGAUCAACACUUUCAUAUUUUAAAAAUGCCAAUUUUUUUAGCUUCAUAUGUUGAUGCUACUUCAUGAAAGAAUGGUGUAAGAUUGGGUUAGACCAAAAAGGCAAAGUUUUUUUCUGAUUUUAGGAAAACAUCUGGCGUUAUUCAGUCGGGGAAAUUAAACAUGUCAAGUUUGUUCUACGUUUGUAAACAAUAUUCCUAUUAUUGUGUAUACAAUUUGAUUGCAAUUAUUUUUGUUUAAAUCAGAAUGCUUCAUCAUGAUAAAUGUAUUAUUCUGUUGGGUUAUUUUAAGAUUUCAGAUACUAUAGUAUAUAAACAGUCCUUCUUUCCAGUGUUUUUGAUUUGAUUUGAAUUUUUUUAUUAUUUAUGAAUAGAAGGACAAGAAAGAAAAGGAAAAACUAAGUCUGGUAAAAAGACUGACCUCUGGUAAGAGCAAGAAAUCAAAAUCCCCUGGACUUGAAAGUGAUGGGUCUGGUACUGAGAGUAUUGGUAAUCAUGUCAGGUAAGUGUCUAGUUUAGAGAAAUUUUUUAUAUUCAUUUUCCAGAUAACAGCUGAUGCAUAUAUUAAAAUUAUGUUUUGGUCAAAUUUUUGUUAUGCCUGCAAUUCUCUGAAAAACUUGACUUGAUGGGAACCCAUGGUGUAAGGAUUUGUUUUAUAGUCGUGCAGCAUGUCAUUUAAAUUUGAUAAAUGUUACAAAACAAUUCCAUACCAUAUCUUUCACCAGAUUUUAAUGAUCCAUUUUAUUACUCAUGGAAUUAUUACUGCUCUGUAGGAAAACUAGUGGAAUCAUGCCAAAACUGGUAAAGUAAUUGAGAGAGGCAUUAGACAACAUUGAAUGGUAGUUCUAGUUAAUUCAAAAUGUUUGUAGUUAGAUGCAUCUCUGUUUUUUUCAGAUCUGGGUCUUGUCCAGCAGAUAGUAAUAGUCUGUUUGGAGCAGAGGGAAGUCAGCAUAUGAAAACUGGUUCCUUUGAUUCUACUGUACCUCUUGUACCUCAGCAAAAAAUAAGUAGACCAAAACCUGUAGUUAGAGAAAAGUAAGUAAAACUUUAAGACAAAAUACACAUUUUGAAAUCAUUCAAAAAAAGUAGGGGAUUUUUCUGUGUCAUGUGAAACUAAUUUGUUUCUAUGAAUGUAAGGCAAGUCAAUAAGGUUUCAGAGAACAUUUAAAUGCAUAUGAAACCUCAAAUUAAAAAAAAAUGAUGCAUAUAUGUUUUUUAUAACAAAAUGGAUAGUUUUCAUUAUUAAACUUAUGUACAUAUACUUUUUUCUGAAGAAAAUUCUUUAAUUUGUCUACAUUUAGACGAAGCUUACUUUUUUUAAUUGCUUGCUUCCAGACCCUGUCACUGAAAUAAACUAUUAUCUGAUUGUACAUGAUGAACACGUGCUAAAUAUCCAUGCUUUUUUGUUGACUGUUUACUAUAAGGUGACAAUCGGUAAACUUCGGUGUCAAAACACGGCAUUUAAUGAGCUGCCAUAUUUGUUAAAUCAUAACAGACAGAGAGAAGAAAAAUAUUGACGAUUAUACGAUAUAUUUGCGUAAAAAAUUAUAAAAUUGUGCACAAAAGACUAAGUUUAUGAUAUAUACAUGCAUUGGUUCAAGAAUUGAAUAAUUAAUAUUGUUCACCAGUUAAUCGUUUUAUGUGACUUUAAUGGAUUUUGAUGAUGUCACAUGAGACAACACACUUUGAAAUGAAAGGACCACUGUAAUUCUUUGAACAUCAUAUGAGAAUUCUCAUUUAAGAGCUGCAUUGGAUGGAUAUCAACCUUAUGCAGAUAAAUAUCAAUACAUAGAUAUUAUUUCUCUACACAAAAAUUGUAACUGUUUGAAAACUGUGAUGGUAUAAGAACCCUACAAAACAAGACUAAAUUCCUUUUUCUGCCAACACUCAAAGUCUAAUAAAUGUCAUGAUUCUAAGCACUUCCUUAAGGUCGACUUCUAUCUGAAGCAGCUCAUAUAUUUAGAUUUAUUUUUCUGCUUGUAAAGUUAGAUAUACCAUGUUUUACAGAUACAGGUGUGUUGUUCCUUAUCCACCUCAGAGUGAUGUUGAACUAGAACUUAAAGUAGGAGAUGUUGUUUAUGUUCACAAGAAAAGGGAAGAUGGAUGGUUUAAAGGAACACUUCAACGAUUGGGAAAAACUGGACUUUUUCCUGGAAGUUUUGUAGAAAAAUGUGAAAAUGUAUGAAAAUUAUCAUAACAGCACAAUGAAUGCAAGUGUUGAUACAUGUAUGCAGUAAUGUCCAUGUAUGUGAAAUUGUUUUAUGAUAUGAUAUUGUGUAAGUUCUUUAGAAGUGUUGACUAGUUUUUGUGAUGUUUGAAUAUUUGAUAGUUAAAUAGUUAUUGAUUUUAUGGUUUCAUAUUUUUCACAGGACAAAUAUUUUUUUAUUAAUUUGUAUAUAAAAAAAGGAAACCAAUGAAAAUUCCUUCCCAACUAAUAAGAGUUCAAAGAACAAAUGGAUUUGUUUUUGUUAGCUCACCUGGCCUAAAAGGCCAUGUGAGCUUUUCUCAUCACUUGGCGACCGUCGUCGUCGUCGACGUCUGUCGUCGUUAACAAUUUUUCAAACAUCUUCUCCUCUGAAACUACUGAAUGGAUUUGAAUGAAACUUAGCAUGAUUGUUCCUUAGAUUAUCCUGCACAAAGUGUGUGCUUCGAAUUUUAAUCCGUCAAAAAACAUGGCCGCCGUUACUCAAAAUAGAACAUAGGGGUCAAAUGCAGUUUUUGGCUUAUAUCUCAAAAACGAAAGCAUUUAGAGCAAAUCUGACAUGGGGUAAAAAUGUUCAUUAGGUCAAGAUCUAUCAGCCCUGAAAUUUUCAGAUGAAUCAAACAAACCAUUGUUGGGUUGCUGCCACUUAAUUGGUAAUUUUAAGGAAAUUUUGCAGUUUUUGGUCAUUAUCUUGAAUAUUAUUAUAGAUAAAGAUAAACUGUAAACAGCAAAAAAUGAUCAGCAAAGUAAGAUCUACAAUAAGUUAAUAUGACCAAAAUUGUCAAUUGACCCUUAAGGGGUUAUUGUCCUUUAAUGACAAUUUUUCACAAUUUGUUCAUCAUAUUUGCUAACUUUAAAAAAUCUUCUCCUCUAAAACUACUAAACCAAAUUCUACCAAACUUCAACUGAAUGAUCAGUAGGGUGUAUAAAAUAAAGUUUGUGCUUUAUUUUUUAUUUCGUCAAAAAACAUGGCCGUCAUGGUUAAAAAUAGAACACAGGGUAAAAUGCAGUUUUUGGCCUAUAUCUCAAAAACGCCAGCAUUUAGAGCAAAUAAGACAAGAAGUUAAAGUAUUUAUUAGGUCAAGGUCUACCUGUCCUGAAAUUUUCAGCCGAAUUGGGUAACUGGUUUUUCAGGUAUAAUGCCCCUGAAUUGAUGAUUUUAAAGAAAUUUUGCAGUUUUUGGUUAUUAUCUUGAAUAUUAUUAUAGAUACAGAUAAACUGUUAAUAACAAAAAUGUUAAGCAAAGUAAGAUCUACAAAUAAGUCAAUUUGACCAAAAUUGUCAAUUGACCCCUUAAGGAGUUAUUGCCCUUUAAAGACUUUUUUCACAAUUUGUUCAUCAUGUUGACUUACUUUAAAAAAAUCUUCUCCUUUGAACUGCUGUAUCAAUUUCAGCCAAACUUAGGCUAAAUGAGUUUCAGAGUAUCUAGUAUAAAUUUUAUAUUUCAUUUCCUUGUAUGUCAGAAACAUAGCUCCUAUGGCUUAAAUAGAACAUAGGAGAAAAUAAUUUUUUUUUUGCUUUUGAAGAAAAUAGGACGAUUCAAAGAACAUUUAAAUAAAUUGAAAAGCCAAAAUAAUCAUUGAUGAGAGAUUUAACCAAAAAAAUUAAGGUGAGCGAUUCAGGCUCUUGAGAGCCUCUUGUUUUGAAAGUUUAAGAAUGAGGUAGGUUUCUUCUUACAGAACAUGUCAACUUCAAUGUCAUUUGGUCCUUGGUGGAGAGUUGUCUCAUUGGCAUUCAUACCACAUCUUUUUAUUUUAAUGUGUAUAGAAAUUCUAAAAUAAAGAUUUCAAACUUAAGAAAGCUCAGUUAGCAACAAUAGGAGGAUAGAACAAACCCCUGAUAAAUAAAUGUUGCAUUAUUUUUCAAAACUAUUAAAAAACAAGAUAUAAAGCAAUGUUGGCAUUUAUAUCACUGUGUCAGUCAAUUUUGUAAAUAUUACAUGUUUAGUGCCACACUUAUCAUAAUGCUGUAUUAGCUGACAGUAUAUAUUUAAACUUAGUGCUGUUACCUCACCUGAAUUAAGGACUAUUUGAGGAUUAUCAUGUGUCAUCUAUUCGACUAUCAUUUGUUUACAUUCAAUAUUAUUAAUGUCAUCUUAUGAAUGGUACUUUUUUGGCAUGGAAGAACUAGAAAAUGGAAAAAGGGUAUCUGUCAAAAUUUAGGUCUUAAAAAAAGUCUAAUGAAAAUUAGUUAAUUACACUAUUUAGUACAAUCAAAUUUUAAAAGUUUCAUACUGACAACUUCCUGGUUAUUAACAGUUUCUACAUGACACUUUAACUUGUGUGUUCCAGAACUGUGUAUGUAAAUACUUUUGACAGAAGGUGAUAUUUAGUAAUGUUGGAAAUAAAAUUUAAGAUUGUUGCAGCAGAAUAAAAUUUUUAAUGCAAUGUAAUUCAUCUGGCACGAAAAAUGCCUGUUUUGGUAUAAUAUUUUGUUUAUUUAUACAUGCAAGCCUAUGUAUUUACUUGAUAUUAAAUUGUAUAUAAUAUUCAUUUAUGCCAUCUAUUGUACAUUUUUCAAGAUGAGAUUGUCAAUAUUAUUAUUGGGCUUUGACCUUUUACUUUGUUUGAGGUCAUAUGCAAUGUUCUUGAUGCAUUUGAAAAUACUGAGAACGGAAAGUAGGUUAUGGAAAACUAUUUUUUUUCUAAAAAAAAAUGUAUGCUGAAUAUAUAUAUCUA
RNAcentral lists this long non-coding RNA (9551 nucleotides) under Mytilus galloprovincialis (Mediterranean mussel). Lineage: Eukaryota; Metazoa; Mollusca; Bivalvia; Mytilida; Mytilidae. The record is from RNAcentral.